UGAGGGAUCUUCGGCAAUGGGGGCAACCCUGACCGAGCAACGCCGCGUGCGGGAGGACGCCUUUCGGGGUGUAAACCGCUUUUCUGGGGGACGAGGGAGUACGGACGGUACCCCAGGAAGAAGUCUCGGCUAACUACGUGCCAGCAGCCGCGGUAAUACGUAGGAGACGAGCGUUGUCCGGAGUUACUGGGCGUAAAGGGUGCGCAGGUGGCGGCGCGCGUGGGGGGUGAAAUCGCCUGGCUUAACUGGGCGGGGGCCUUCCAGACGGCGUGGCUUGAGCAGCGGAGGGGGACGUGGAAUUCCGGGUGGAGCGGUGAAAUGCGUAGAGAUCCGGAGGAACACCGACGGCGCAGGCAGCGUCCUGGCCGCUUGCUGACACUGAGGCACGAAAGCUGGGGGAGCAAACA
RNAcentral lists this ribosomal RNA (407 nucleotides) under uncultured bacterium. RNAcentral describes it as "partial 16S ribosomal RNA". It matches the Rfam family "Bacterial small subunit ribosomal RNA", at positions 355 to 774 of the family's 1533-position model. The record is from RNAcentral.